AGGGCAUAGAGGGACAUGUGCUUCUUGCCCUCAGCAAUUUAAUCAGAGGUUAGAUCCUGAUGGAUUUCAUAUGAAACCAAACACCAACAGAUUUCUCCCAAGCACUUGAACUCCAUAAAUAACAUCUGUGCAUUGCAGCAUAAUGAGGUGGGGAAGAGGAAGGACUCUGGAAUCAAGCUGCCUGGCUCUGCUACUUCUUUGCUGUUCAACAUCUUUGUGCCUUAGUUUCUCCAUCUAUAAAAUGGAGACCGCAGUAGCACCUGCUUCACAGGGUUGCUGUGAGGACUGAAUCCCUGCUAGGGAAACACUUGGGAAAGUCCUUGCCUCAGGAAGCACACAGACUCCACAUUUUAAAGAGAACACAAAACAACUGCAGAUCCAGCAGCUCCUUAGAGUAUCAGCUCUGCUGAACAUUAGAACCUGGAAACUUAAUGUUAACAUGGAUGCCUGAGGUUCAUCUCAAAACCAUCAGGUCAGAACCUGUGGAGCAAAAGGUUUCGUUGUUUCUGAUUGGCUGGUUGAGUCAGGACUCUAUACCAUGAAAGAGGAUGAUGCCAGAUUCAUAAAUAGGAGUAAAGCCAUCAGGAGAUGUGAUGUCAUCCACCACCG
Molecule: long non-coding RNA, 609 nt
Organism: Canis lupus familiaris (dog)
Lineage: Eukaryota; Metazoa; Chordata; Mammalia; Carnivora; Canidae
Exons: 3
Source: RefSeq, a predicted model, not a curated record